Molecule: ribosomal RNA, 119 nt
Filed under: Gossypium raimondii (Peruvian cotton)
Lineage: Eukaryota; Viridiplantae; Streptophyta; Magnoliopsida; Malvales; Malvaceae
Source: RNAcentral
GGGUGCGAUCAUACCAGCAAUAAUGCACCGGAUCCCAUCAGAACUUCAUAGUUAAGCGUGCUUGGGCGAGAGUAGUACUAGGAUGGGUGACCUCCUGGGAAGUCCUCGUGUUGCACCCC